RNAcentral lists this small RNA (520 nucleotides) under Pan troglodytes (chimpanzee). Its description in RNAcentral is "processed transcript". Lineage: Eukaryota; Metazoa; Chordata; Mammalia; Primates; Hominidae. The record is from RNAcentral.
AUGUUCCAUCCUCACAGACACUUUGGGGGCACCUUCCCCUGCAGUUGCCCAAGCCAAGUAGUCAGCAGGAGCUUCAUGGCUGUUAGCUGGAGCGGAAGGCUGGCUGCCUGGUUGCCACAGCAACAGCUGUUGUGACAGGAACUCCCUCGAAAGGCUUUGAUGAGAAGGCCUACCUGUCGGCCAAGCAGCUGAAGGCUGGAGAGGACCCCUACAGACAGCAUGCCUUCAACCAGCUGGAGAGUGACAAGCUGAGCCCGGACCGGCCCAUCCGGGACACCCGCCAUUACAGCUGCCCAUCUGUGUCCUACUCCUCGGACCUGCCAGCCACCAGCGUCAUCAUCACCUUCCACAAUGAGGCCCGUUCCACCCUGCUGCGCACAGUGAAGAGUGUCCUGAACCGAACUCCUGCCAACUUGAUCCAGGAGAUCAUUUUAGUGGAUGACUUCAGUUCAGAUCUGGAAGACUGUCUACUCCUGACCAGGAUCCCCAAGGUCAAGUGCCUGCGCAAUGAUCGGCGGGA